AGCCACAGCCAUAUCACCCUGCAGCCCAAGACCGGUUACUCUGAAGCCAAGCAGGGCUGUGCCUGGUCAGUACCUGGAUGUGAGACCACAUGGGAAAACUAGGUUGCUGUUGGAA
This 115-nucleotide ribosomal RNA is filed under the name Danio rerio (zebrafish). The record is from RNAcentral. Lineage: Eukaryota; Metazoa; Chordata; Actinopteri; Cypriniformes; Danionidae.